AAUGAAAGGAAAGUAGUCUAAUCCAUAAAUCUAUUAUAAAUGGAUUGUAACUUGUAGUUUUGUUAGUUGGAUGAUCCUUGAUUUCAACAAUCUCAAUCAAAUAUGAGAUCCGAGGGGGUUAUUUGCCCGUAUGUUGAUGUAUCAGGUGUCAGUCACAAUUAUGUCCUAGAGUAGCGCUCUUUGGUAAUAGAGCUCGAAGCUUGUGGUGGUAUUCAUAAAAGACUUAUCAUUGGUGAGAGACCUUUAGUGUACAAGUACCGUGAGGGAAAGAUGAAAAGAACUUUGGAGAGGGAGUUAAACAGUAUGUGAAAAUGUUAGUAGCAAGCGGAUCAAAUUAAAGAGCAUUUCUUUGAGAUAGUUACAUCCACAUUAUACUCUAAUUUAAGAUAUAAUUUACAAUUCGUGCUACUCAGGGUGAGGUAGAUAUGCUUUAAUUUAUUCUGAUCCGACCCGUCUGGAAACACGGACCAAGGAGUCUAGUAUUGGUGCAAGUAUUUGAAUAUUUAAAAUUCCCUUACAAAGGUAACUCAGAUCGUGUUCAUCGUGUCAUUAUGAUAGCAUCGCGGGCAGUGUUUUUACCUAGCAAGAGCAUGUAU
This 596-nucleotide ribosomal RNA is filed under the name Collozoum inerme. Its description in RNAcentral is "eukaryotic LSU rRNA". It matches the Rfam family "Eukaryotic large subunit ribosomal RNA", at positions 92 to 807 of the family's 3401-position model. The record is from RNAcentral. Lineage: Eukaryota; Polycystinea; Collodaria; Sphaerozoidae.